GAUGAAGAACGCAGCGAAAUGCGAUAAGUAAUGUGAAUUGCAGAAUUCAGUGAAUCAUCGAAUCUUUGGACGCACAUUGCGCCCGCCAGUAUUCUGGCGGGCAUGCCUGUUCGAGCGUCAUUACAACCCUCAGGCCCCCGGGCCUGGCGUUGGGGAUCGGCGGAGCCCCCCGUGGGCACACGCCGUCCCCCAAAUACAGUGGCGGUCCCGCCGCAGCUUCCAUCGCGUAGUAGCUAACACCUCGCGACUGGAGAGCGGCGCGGCCACGCCGUAAAACACCCAACUCUUCUGAAGUUGACCUCGAAUCAGGUAGGAAUACCCGCUGAACUUAAGCAUAUCAAUAAGCGGAGGA
This 352-nucleotide unclassified non-coding RNA is filed under the name soil metagenome. RNAcentral's name for it is "partial contains 5.8S ribosomal RNA, internal transcribed spacer 2, and large subunit ribosomal RNA". The stretch from base 1 to 120 matches the Rfam family "5.8S ribosomal RNA", at positions 35 to 154 of the family's 154-position model. The record is from RNAcentral.